Molecule: non-coding RNA, 264 nt
Organism: Pelobates cultripes (western spadefoot toad)
Lineage: Eukaryota; Metazoa; Chordata; Amphibia; Anura; Pelobatidae
Source: the annotation of a GenBank genome assembly
GCCCAAACCAAGUACUGAGUCCAUAUGCAUGCUUAUACUUUUCAGAGGUCCAAUAUUGUUCUAUGUACACUCCUUGUUUUAUUGAUUGCAUGUAAUAUUCUAAUUUACUGAGAUUGUGGAUUUGGGGUUUUCAUGAGCUGUAAGCCAUAAUGAUCGCACUUAUGACAAAUCAUGGCUUGAACUAUCUUGCUUUGCAUGUAAUGCGUCUAUCUCAUAUAUUAGUUUCCGCUUUUACGUUGCAUUACUGAAAUAAAUUAACUUUUG